GGGGGCGGAUUUGUUUCAAAACUAUUCCCACAAAUGCACCCGUGACUUUGUUCAUUUGUUUUUCGAAAGGAGGUUGCCCAUUGUACUUUAGGUGUGGAUCGCUCAAACAGAUGCAUUGCGAGCGCGGGCACGUUUGGAAAUGGACGGGUUGAAAGUUAAAAUUAGUCAGAUUACUGGGCCAAAGGCCCAGCCGCCAGACUCGGAGGACAUGCGGAAGGGACGCCAACCUGCAUUUGGACACGCAGUAGACAAUCACAAAAGCAGAGGAAAAAGUUGCAAGUUGGAUGGCG
Molecule: long non-coding RNA, 290 nt
Organism: Hippocampus comes (tiger tail seahorse)
Lineage: Eukaryota; Metazoa; Chordata; Actinopteri; Syngnathiformes; Syngnathidae
Exons: 3
Source: RefSeq, a predicted model, not a curated record